Molecule: long non-coding RNA, 269 nt
Filed under: Elaeis guineensis (African oil palm)
Lineage: Eukaryota; Viridiplantae; Streptophyta; Magnoliopsida; Arecales; Arecaceae
Description: long non-coding RNA (EGUI_LNC014981)
Source: RNAcentral
GUUCUGCUUUAUUAAGGACUCACCGGCACAGAAGAAGGCACCAUUCCUUUUCUUGGUGAAGCCGUGGUCCUUCUGUGACUCGGCUUCUCCUCAUAGCCUCCCAAUUUGGGCUAGAUUGAAUCUUGUUGGUCGUUCCUUCCUUUGCUUGGGACGUUGAGUCAGUGAGGAAGAUGAUCGUUGAUUUCUGCCUGCUGGAGCGAGCCAGCACAAAGACUUUGGUCGGGAGGGAUCUCUCGUCUUUUGAAAUCCUUGCUCAUUAUCAGAGCUUG